CAGUAGCCGCGGUAAUGCGUAGGGUGCGAGCGUUAAUCGGAAUUACUGGGCGUAAAGCGUGCGCAGGCGGUUGUGUAAGACAGGUGUGAAAUCCCCGGGCUUAACCUGGGAACUGCGCUUGUGACUGCACAGCUAGAGUAUGGCAGAGGGGGGUGGAAUUCCACGUGUAGCAGUGAAAUGCGUAGAGAUGUGGAGGAACACCGAUGGCGAAGGCAGCCCCCUGGGCCAAUACUGACGCUCAUGCACGAAAGCGUGGGGAGCAAACAGGAUUAGAUACCCGGGUAGUCCCUGUCUCUUAUAC
This 301-nucleotide ribosomal RNA is filed under the name uncultured bacterium. RNAcentral describes it as "partial 16S ribosomal RNA". It matches the Rfam family "Bacterial small subunit ribosomal RNA", at positions 509 to 807 of the family's 1533-position model. The record is from RNAcentral.